AACUACCCAAAAAUUCCCAAAUUGAACCCACUAGCCCUAACCUAACCUAGCCACCUCCUUACCCACCGCCACACCCUCCUUUCCCCAACAACACCCACACACAACAGAACCCACAUACCUCAACAGAAAAAAAAAAGAGAAAAAAAUAAAAGAAAAGGAAAGGGAAAUCGGAGGGAAGGGGAGAGCCGAGAGGAGAAGAGGGGAGGGAGGCGCACCGGCGUUGCUGGGCCUCGCCGCCGCCAUCGCGUCCUCACCGAGCCUUGGAGGGAGACCGCGCCACCACAUGCAGCCAUCACCGCUGCGCCGCAUCGCUGCUCCGGCGCCGUUCACGCUUCUGUCACCGUCAGAACCGCACGCCGCCGUUGGAAGUAUUUUCAUCGUCGCCGUUAAUGGAGCUUGGUGAAUAGUGGGAAGACGCGCGAGGAAGGAGAAGCCUUCGCCAUCGCGCCUUGUGCUUCCAGUUUCCGUCGUCACCGUGCAGAGCCGCCGCCAUCGUCAUCAUCACGGGCUGCUGCUGCUGCGCGUGCGAUCAUCGCCGCCUCUGGGUCCGUCACCGUCGAGCCUGGUCGCGGGCAGAAGAAGGAGAAGAGACCUCCGUCACCGCCGAGCCAAACGCAGGAGAGAGAAGGAGCCCGCGGGAGAGGAGCUUGUUACCGUCGCUUCUACCGCCGGAAAACACCUCUGCUGCCACUGAGAUCUGUCGCCGUCGCCGUUGCCGGAGUUCUGGUCGCCGCUGCCGUUCGAGGUGGCUCCCGGAGCUGUUGCCAAACCGGUUCAGCGACCGCCGCUGUUUCAUUUUCUUAGUUCGGGUCGUGUUUUGAGCGUUGCACGUCGCUUUUAAGUUGCUGUGAGUGCUGCGAAAGUGAUCAGGGGCUGAGUUUGCGGUUGCUAUCGGUUUCGGGUUAAGAGAAACGGUUUCGUUGACGCGUUUUGAGUUAUGGUUUCGACGAGUCGAGCUUUACCUUUUCAGGAACCGGAUGAAGAAGCGUUAAGAAGAGUUAUACU
Arachis ipaensis is the source of this 1005-nucleotide non-coding RNA. The record is from RefSeq and is a predicted model, not a curated record. NCBI's taxonomy places the organism in Eukaryota, Viridiplantae, Streptophyta, Magnoliopsida, Fabales, Fabaceae.